This 489-nucleotide ribosomal RNA is filed under the name uncultured Pseudomonadota bacterium. RNAcentral's name for it is "bacterial SSU rRNA". It matches the Rfam family "Bacterial small subunit ribosomal RNA", at positions 355 to 840 of the family's 1533-position model. The record is from RNAcentral. Lineage: Bacteria; Pseudomonadati; Pseudomonadota.
UGGGGAAUAUUGCGCAAUGGGCGAAAGCCUGACGCAGCCACGCCGCGUGUGCGAUGAAGGUCUUCGGAUCGUAAAGCACUGUGGGGGGAGAAGAACAAAGCUGGUGAAGAGCCGGUCCUGACGGUAUCCCCUUAGCAAGCACCGGCUAACUCCGUGCCAGCAGCCGCGGUAAUACGGAGGGUGCAAACGUUGCUCGGAAUCACUGGGCGUAAAGCGCACGUAGGCGGCCUUGUAAGUUGGAUGUGAAAGCCCUGGGCUCAACCCAGGAAGUGCAUCCAAAACUGCAUGGCUUGAGUGCCGGAGGGGUUCAGAGAAUUCCCGGUGUAGAGGUGAAAUUCGUAGAUAUCGGGAGGAAUACCAGUGGCGAAGGCGCUGAACUGGACGGUAACUGACGCUGAGGUGCGAAAGCGUGGGUAGCAAACAGGAUUAGAUACCCUGGUAGUCCACGCCGUAAACGAUGAGUGCUAGGCGGUGGGAGAUUUUGACCCU